CGUGUAGGCGGUUGGUCAAGUCGGGUGUGAAAGCCCGGGGCUCAGCCUCGGAAGUGCAUCCGAAACUAGCCAGCUAGAGCGCGAUAGAGGAGGGUGGAAUUCCUGGUGUAGCGGUGAAAUGCGUAGAUAUCAGGAGGAACACCGGCGGCGAAGGCGGCCCUCUGGGUCGUUGCUGACGCUGAGACGCGAAAGCGUGGGGAGCAAACAGGAUUAGAUACCCUGGUAGUCCACGCUAUAAACGAUGGGUACUAGGUGUUCGGGGUGUUGACCCCCUGAGUGCCGCAGCUAACGCAUUAAGUACCCCGCCUGGGGACUACGGCCGCAAGGUUAAA
This 332-nucleotide ribosomal RNA is filed under the name uncultured bacterium. RNAcentral's name for it is "bacterial SSU rRNA". It matches the Rfam family "Bacterial small subunit ribosomal RNA", at positions 568 to 898 of the family's 1533-position model. The record is from RNAcentral.